RNAcentral lists this ribosomal RNA (432 nucleotides) under uncultured bacterium. RNAcentral describes it as "partial 16S ribosomal RNA". It matches the Rfam family "Bacterial small subunit ribosomal RNA", at positions 29 to 507 of the family's 1533-position model. The record is from RNAcentral.
ACGAACGCUGGCGGCAUGCCUAACACAUGCAAGUCGAACGAGACCUUCGGGUCUAGUGGCGCACGGGUGCGUAACGCGUGGGAACCUGCCCUUAGGUUCGGAAUAACUCCCCGAAAGGGGUGCUAAUACCGGAUAAUGUCUUCGGACCAAAGAUUUAUCGCCUUUGGAUGGGCCCGCGUUGGAUUAGCUAGUUGGUAGGGUAAAAGCCUACCAAGGCGACGAUCCAUAGCUGGUCUGAGAGGAUGAUCAGCCACACUGGGACUGAGACACGGCCCAGACUCCUACGGGAGGCAGCAGUGGGGAAUAUUGGACAGUGGGCGAAAGCCUGAUCCAGCAAUGCCGCGUGAGUGAUGAAGGCCUUAGGGUUGUAAAGCUCUUUUACCCGGGAUGAUAAUGACAGUACCGGGAGAAUAAGCUCCGGCUAACUCCGUG